Molecule: ribosomal RNA, 914 nt
Filed under: uncultured crenarchaeote
Lineage: Archaea; Thermoproteati; Thermoproteota
Description: bacterial SSU rRNA
Rfam family: Archaeal small subunit ribosomal RNA
Source: RNAcentral
ACGCAAGUGCGAUGGGGCUACCCAAAGUGCUCCACACGGAGCUGUGGUGGAUGAGUAAUGUUCUCCGCUAGAAAGGAGAGGGCAAGGCUGGUGCCAGCCGCCGCGGUAAAACCAGCUCUUCAAGUGGUCGGGAUAAUUAUUGGGCUUAAAGUGUCCGUAGCCGGUAUGGUAAGUUCCUGGUAAAAUUGGGCAGCUUAACUGUCCUUGUGCUAGGGAUACUGCUCUACUAGAGGGCGGGAGAGGUCUGAGGUACUACAGGGGUAGGGGUGAAAUCUUAUAAUCCUUGUAGGACCACCAGUGGCGAAAGCGUCAGACUGGAACGCGCCUGACGGUGAGGGACGAAAGCCAGGGGAGCGAACCGGAUUAGAUACCCGGGUAGUCCUGGCCGUAAACGAUGCGCACUAGGUGAUGGUGCGGCUAUGAGCCGCAUCAGUGUCGUAGGGAAACCGUUAAGUGUGCCGCCUAGGAAGUACGGUCGCAAGGCUUAAACUUAAAGGAAUUGGCGGGGGAGCACCACAAGGGGUGAAGCCUGCGGUUCAAUUGGACUCAACGCCGGGCAACUUACCAGGGGAGACAGCAGAAUGAGGGUCAGGUUGACGACCUUACCUGACAAGCUGAGAGGAGGUGCAUGGCCGUCGCCAGUUCGUGCUGUGAGAUAUCCUGUUAAGUCAGGCAACGAACGAGACCCGCACCUUUAUUUGCCAGCAAGAAGUCACGACUUCGUUGGGAACGAUAAAGGGACCGCCGUCGAUAAGACGGAGGAGGGAGCGGGCAAAGGCAGGUCAGUAUGCCCCGAAACCCCUGGGCCACACGCGGGCUGCAAUGGUGCGAACAAUGGGCUGUGACUCCGAAAGGAGAAACCAAUCCCGAAAUCGCAUCUCAGUGGGGAUUGUCGACUGUAACUCGUUGACAUG